Molecule: long non-coding RNA, 1028 nt
Filed under: Salmo salar (Atlantic salmon)
Lineage: Eukaryota; Metazoa; Chordata; Actinopteri; Salmoniformes; Salmonidae
Description: lncRNA (ENSSSAG00000086561.1, ENSSSAG00000117215.1)
Source: RNAcentral
AAUGUGGAGGCUAUAUACAGGGGGUGCCGGUACAGAGUCAAUGUGGAGGCAAUAUACAGGGUGUUACGGUACAGAGUCAAUGUGGAGGCUAUAUACAGGGGGUACCGGUACAGAGUCAAUGUGGAGGCUAUAUACAGGGGGUACCGGUACAGAGUCAAUGUGGAGGCUAUAUACAGGGGGUACCGGUACAGAGUCAAUGUGGAGGCUGUAUACAGGGGGUACCGGUACAGAGUCAAUGUGGAGGCUAUAUACAGGGGGUACCGGUACAGAGUCAAUGUGGAGGCUAUAUACAAGGUGUUACGGUACAGAGUCAAUGUGGAGGCUAUAUACAGGGGGUACCAGUACAGAGUUAAUGUGGAGGCUAUAUACAGGGGGUACCGGUACAGAGUCAAUAUGGAGGCUAUAUACAGGGGGGUACCGGUACAGAGUCAAUGUGGAGGCUAUAUACAGGGGGUACCAGUACAGAGUCAAUGUGGAGACUAUAUACAGGGGGUACCGGUACAGAGUCAAUGUGGAGGCUUUAUACAGGGGGUACCGGUACAGAGUCAAGGUGGAGGCUAUAUACAGGGGGAACCGGUACAGAGUCAAUGUGGAGGCUAUAUACAUUGGAUUCCGGUACAGAGUCAAUGUGGAGGCCAAAUACAGGGGGUACCGGUACAGAGUCAAUGUGGAGGCUAUAUACAGGGGAUACCGGUACAGAGUCAAUGUGGAGGCUAUAUACAGGGGGGUACCAGAACAGAGUCAAUGUGGAGGCUAUAUACAGGGGGAACCGGUACAGAGUCAAUGUGGAGGCUAUAUACAUUGGAUUCCGGUACAGAGUCAAUGUGGAGGCUAUAUACAGGGGGGUACCGAUACAGAGUCAAUGUGGAGGCUAUAUACAGGGGGGUACUGGUACAAAGUCAAUGUGGAGGCUAUAUACAGGGGGUACCGGUACAGAGUCAAUGUGGAGGCUAUAUACAUUGGAUUCCGGUACAGAGUCAAUUUGGAGGCUAUAUACAGGGGGGUACCGGUACAGAGUCAAUGUGGAG